AUCUUUUUUAAAAAUAUAUUAAAGUUAAUUUUAAGUUAAUUAAAAAUUUCUUUGAUCGAAACGAAAUGAAUUUUCAUUCAACUCGAUUCGUGUUUAAUUAUGUUGAUCAGUCAAAACGUGUAUAUUAUAAAUUCCAUAAAUUUUAAAUAUAAACGAAUCAUCUUGUACUUGUAACAUUUAUAAAAUAUGCAAAAAAAUAAAAAAUAUAUUAUGCGUGUAAUAUGAAAAGUAUGCAAUUUGCAUGAAAAUCUAAUCAUUAAGAAAAAAUAGUAGAAAUUUAUUAGAAAUGCGAUCUCUGAGUGGGAGUCCUUAUUUAUAUGAUUUAUUCAUACAAAAUUCUCUAAUUAUUCCGAAGAAUAUGGGGCAAAGAGCAAAAAAAACGAACGAUUCAUCUCGCAAUGAAGCGAACUGAAAAAAACGUUGAAAGGACACUUGGAUAGAGAAGUGACACAUUGAGUCAGCGUUGCACAGCAUAACCUAUAAGUUCGAUCGUUUCUUGAACACGUUCGACCACACGUGAGAGCCCUCCAAUCGAAAACUUUCCUCCUCUUCUAUAUCGAGGUGUAAGAGUCUUGGAGGGAGAAAAAACUGAUUCGACAGAAAACUACCGAAUAAAACUGAUCGCCGCAAUAGCAAUUCAAAAGGUCAGAUCUUCGUUGUAAUUCCUGUAUCCCCUCUCCAAUAUAACCUACACGUUUUAUGCUUACGCGUCAUAUUUUUUUUUAAUAAUCAGAUUAAAGAGAGAAAUUGUGUGGACACUUUGUCGGAUUUUUUUUCUCACACGCUUUUUAUAAACAGAAUUUCGAAAGUAUACUCGGCCGGAAUACACAAUGGACGUGAUCCGCAUAAGGAACUCGCAAACGUACGUAGGCGAAGGAAAAAUUGAGCGACGCGAGGGAAAAACUCACGCGGCGAAGGAAGAAAGGUCGAGAGAAGGAGGAUCAUCGAUGAAACAAGGAAUCUCGAAUGCGAAGAAAUUCGGAAAGAUUUAUCGGAAAAUUAGAGAGAAAAAGAGAAGAAAAGAAAA
Long non-coding RNA from Apis mellifera (honey bee), 1027 nucleotides. RefSeq lists it as uncharacterized. The record is from RefSeq and is a predicted model, not a curated record. The transcript is spliced from 2 exons. Lineage: Eukaryota; Metazoa; Arthropoda; Insecta; Hymenoptera; Apidae.